This 355-nucleotide ribosomal RNA is filed under the name uncultured bacterium. RNAcentral's name for it is "bacterial SSU rRNA". It matches the Rfam family "Bacterial small subunit ribosomal RNA", at positions 8 to 353 of the family's 1533-position model. The record is from RNAcentral.
AGAGUUGAUCAUGGCUCAGGAUGAACGCUAGCUACAGGCUUAACACAUGCAAGUCGAGGGGCAGCAUGGUCUUAGCUUGCUAAGGCUGAUGGCGACCGGCGCACGGGUGAGUAACACGUAUCCAACCUGCCGUCUACUCUUGGCCAGCCUUCUGAAAGGAAGAUUAAUCCAGGAUGGGAUCAUGAGUUCACAUGUCCGCAUGAUUAAAGGUAUUUUCCGGUAGACGAUGGGGAUGCGUUCCAUUAGAUAGUAGGCGGGGUAACGGCCCACCUAGUCAACGAUGGAUAGGGGUUCUGAGAGGAAGGUCCCCCACAUUGGAACUGAGACACGGUCCAAACUCCUACGGGAGGCAGCA